AAAGCUAUAAAGCUGUUAGAGAAAUUGGCUUUCCGAGUUAUGAACUGUGUGCAGAAAGUUGAGGAAGAAAGAACUCAAGUACAACCCAGUGAGGUUGAGAUAUAGGCUACUCUUCCCAACUCAGUCUUGAAGAGUAUCACCAACUGCCUCAUGUGUGGUGACCUUCACUGUCGUAUGCCAGUGACUCAUCUGGAGUAAUCUCAACAACCAGUUACCAAUACUUGCUCUUGAUUGAUAAGCAGAAUGGGGCUUUGGAUCUUAGCAAUUCUCACAAUUCUCAUGUAUUCCACAGCAGCGAAGUUUAGUAAACAAUCAUGGGGCCUGGAAAAUGAGGCUUUAAUUGUAAGAUGUCCUAGACACGGAAAACCUAGUUACACAGUGGAUUGGUAUUACUCACAAACAAACAAAAAUAUUCCCACCCAGGAAAGAAAUCGUGUGUUUGCCUCAGGCCAACUUCUUAAGUUUCUACCAGCUGAAGUUGCUGAUUCUGUCCCACAUUCAAUAAGACUGGAUAUGCAAAUGUCACCAUAUAUAAAAAACAACUAGAUUGUAAUGUUCCAGCUUAUUUGAUGUAUUCAACAGUAUCUGG
This 589-nucleotide small RNA is filed under the name Pongo abelii (Sumatran orangutan). Its description in RNAcentral is "processed transcript". The record is from RNAcentral. Lineage: Eukaryota; Metazoa; Chordata; Mammalia; Primates; Hominidae.